AACGGAUAUCUCGGCUCUCGCAUCGAUGAAGAACGUAGCGAAAUGCGAUACUUGGUGUGAAUUGCAGAAUCCCGUGAACCAUCGAGUCUUUGAACGCAAGUUGCGCCCAAAGCUAUUAGGCCGAGGGCACGUCUGCCUGGGCGUCACACA
This 150-nucleotide ribosomal RNA is filed under the name Staphylea pinnata. RNAcentral describes it as "5.8S ribosomal RNA". It matches the Rfam family "5.8S ribosomal RNA". From Rfam's summary of the family: 5.8S ribosomal RNA (5.8S rRNA) is a component of the large subunit of the eukaryotic ribosome. It is transcribed by RNA polymerase I as part of the 45S precursor that also contains 18S and 28S rRNA. Functionally, it is thought that 5.8S rRNA may be involved in ribosome translocation. The record is from RNAcentral. Lineage: Eukaryota; Viridiplantae; Streptophyta; Magnoliopsida; Crossosomatales; Staphyleaceae.